UCGAGGAUCUUCGGCAAUGGGCGCAAGCCUGACCGAGCGACGCCGCGUGCGCGAUGAAGGCCUUCGGGUUGUAAAGCGCUGUCAGGGGGGAGGAAAAUCUAGCAAUAGAUCUGACCUAUCCCCAGAGGAAGCACGGGCUAAGUUCGUGCCAGCAGCCGCGGUAAGACGAACCGUGCGAACGUUGUUCGGAAUCACUGGGCUUAAAGGGCGCGUAGGCGGUUUACCAAGUCCGGGGUGAAAUCUUUCGGCUUAACCGGAAAAGUGCCUUGGAUACUGGUAAACUUGAGGGAGGUAGGGGCAUGUGGAACUUCCGGUGGAGCGGUGAAAUGCGUUGAUAUCGGAAGGAACGCCGGUGGCGAAAGCGACGUGCUGGACCUCUUCUGACGCUGAGGCGCGAAAGCUAGGGUAGCGAACGGGAUUAGAUACCCGUGUAGUCC
RNAcentral lists this ribosomal RNA (437 nucleotides) under uncultured bacterium. Its description in RNAcentral is "bacterial SSU rRNA". It matches the Rfam family "Bacterial small subunit ribosomal RNA", at positions 355 to 796 of the family's 1533-position model. The record is from RNAcentral.